Long non-coding RNA from Aedes albopictus (Asian tiger mosquito), 292 nucleotides. RefSeq lists it as uncharacterized. The record is from RefSeq and is a predicted model, not a curated record. Lineage: Eukaryota; Metazoa; Arthropoda; Insecta; Diptera; Culicidae. The transcript has 3 exons.
CAAGUGUUGCGACUCGAACGGUUAAACGUACCACCCACCCACCAUCUCAACCAGGGUGCUGGUUGGUCUAAUGUUACAAGUGCGGUGCCCGAACCCAAUGCAAACGACAUUCCACCGUGUGAUCAACACGAUCUUCACAAGUUGAUUCAUAUCGAGCCCUGAUGAAGAUCCCAACCAUAGGAUCGAAACGUAGGCAAUGAUUUAGAAUAAUCAACGCUUUUUCUGUGACUGAAAGCCGAAAACCUACCAAGUUUCCAUAGAUCCAGUCAGUCCCCGUAAGAAAUCACUUCAU